Molecule: transfer RNA, 68 nt
Filed under: Insulaphylus sp. ph34
Lineage: Eukaryota; Metazoa; Arthropoda; Insecta; Hemiptera; Miridae
Also listed under: 3 other names
Description: tRNA-Ser
Rfam family: tRNA
About the family: Transfer RNA (tRNA) molecules are approximately 80 nucleotides in length. Their secondary structure includes four short double-helical elements and three loops (D, anti-codon, and T loops).
Source: RNAcentral
AGUUAAUAAGUUUUAUAAAACUUAUAUUUUGAAAAUAUAGAAAAAAGGUUUAAUCCCUUUAUUAACUU